UUCGUAGGUGGCCAACUAAGUCAGACGUGAAAUCCCUCAGCUUAACUGGGGAACUGCGUCUGAGACUGGAUGGCUUGAGUGCAGGAGAGGAACGCGGAAUUCCAGGUGUAGCGGUGAAAUGCGUAGAUAUCUGGAGGAACACCGGUGGCGAAGGCGGCGUUCUGGACUGCUACUGACACUAAGGAACGAAAGCCAGGGAGCAAACG
This 206-nucleotide ribosomal RNA is filed under the name uncultured bacterium. RNAcentral's name for it is "partial 16S ribosomal RNA". It matches the Rfam family "Bacterial small subunit ribosomal RNA", at positions 568 to 774 of the family's 1533-position model. The record is from RNAcentral.